Molecule: ribosomal RNA, 481 nt
Filed under: uncultured bacterium
Lineage: Bacteria
Description: partial 16S ribosomal RNA
Rfam family: Bacterial small subunit ribosomal RNA
Source: RNAcentral
GAUGAACGCUGGCGGCGUGCUUAACACAUGCAAGUCGAACGAAGCAUUUGCGACAGAUUUUUUCGGAAUGAAGUUGCUUAUGACUGAGUGGCGGACGGGUGAGUAACGCGUGGGUAACCUGCCUUGUACUGGGGGAUAGCAGCUGGAAACGGCUGGUAAUACCGCAUAAGCGCACAAUGUUGCAUGACAUGGUGUGAAAAACUCCGGUGGUAUAAGAUGGACCCGCGUCUGAUUAGCUAGUUGGUGAGAUAACAACCCACCAAGGCGACGAUCAGUAGCCGACCUGAGAGGGUGACCGGCCACAUUGGGACUGAGACACGGCCCAGACUCCUACGGGAGGCAGCAGUGGGGAAUAUUGCACAAUGGAGGAAACUCUGAUGCAGCGACGCCGCGUGAGUGAAGAAGUAAUUCGUUAUGUAAAGCUCUAUCAGCAGGGAAGAUAGUGACGGUACCUGACUAAGAAGCUCCGGCUAAAUACGUG